This is a long non-coding RNA of Aphis gossypii (cotton aphid), 2180 nucleotides long. RefSeq lists it as uncharacterized. The transcript has 6 exons. The record is from RefSeq and is a predicted model, not a curated record. Lineage: Eukaryota; Metazoa; Arthropoda; Insecta; Hemiptera; Aphididae.
UACACAAUACGCAUAAUAUAUUAUGUAUAUUGCAGUGUAAGUAUGACAUCAUCGUGGUAAUUAUUCAAUGACACAAUAUACAAUAUCCGUGCCGCGUUACGAUAUCAAAUGUAUAAUGAUAUAUUAUAUAUUAAAUUAUUAUAUUAAUAUAGUAUUAUUACUAAUAUUCUUUAUUACGAUUAAUCGAGUCGACAGCCUUAUCUAGUCAGUCGUCAUAUCCGCGGAUUCUGUCGGUGUUCGGGUGUUCAGACUUUCAGAGGGAAAUUCAAAAAUUAUCUUAAAAUGGUCAAGGGCACUGCGUCGAUUGGACAGGACUAACCAAUCGCGCGAGCGGGUGUAUGCGGCACACACGGUCGUGGGCGGAGGGUAGUUUUUGAACAUUUAACGGCAUAAUCAUCAGCGUAUAUUAUUAUCAGACGUUCAACACUUACCUUAUCAUCAGGUUUUCCAUGAAUCUCUCGAUUGUGAUCUCGUCCAGUAGAACGAAAUCCACAAUUCCCGGUUCAUCUCGGGUGGCCAUGGUAAUAUAUUAUUAUUAUCUUCUCGAUCGGCAACGGGAUGCUGUGUCGAUGUGUAAAGAUUAUAUUAUGUAAGAAUUGAUAUUAAACAGACAAUGUCGCGAGUUCGAGAAACGACCGCGCGAAUUGAUAUCGGUUGUCGGCACAGAAUAGUUACACGACACUAUAUAAUACACUAAUACCUACUACACUACUAUAGACUAUAGUACUACUGCUAGUAGUUAGUACUGCUGUCUGCUAGUUACUACAAUUAUAGUCGUACACACGGCGACUGGAAACUGUGGGAAGUGGAAGAGGCAACCGCGAUAUUGUGGGUGGUGGUGACAGUGCGUCCGAGACGGCAGACGCGAAAUUAUCGUUAGCCGCAUCAUUUGAUUUGUUAGUUGUUACAGUGUCAUAUUAUUAUGUAUCGUGGUCCUCGCCGAUACCAUAAUAAUAUAUACCAUUAUUACCGUACUUGGCAUUUUAUUAUUUUAAUCUCUUUUCUAUGAUUUUGGGGUUCCGAAAAUCGAAGGUGUAGGUAGUGACUAGUGAAGGUACCUAUUACCCGUGACGACACAGACACGGUCAUCGCCUAUUAUAGUUUGACUUUUGGUGUGCGAUUCACAAGCACUCAUAACGAAUGACAUAACUCAUAACAACUAGGGACGUAUAACAUCGGGAACCAAGAAAUAUACAACCAGCUGCAGACGGCAAUAAAGUUUUUGUUUUUUGUUCUAGCCGAUUUACCACCCAGUGAGCAACUACAAUAAUGGAAAACGUAAUUUAUAUUUCGCUACAGGCACGCAACGUGUCAUUUGUUAUUAUUAUUAAGUUAGAGAGCAGCUGCCGUAUUUAGAGAAUACAAAAUAUAAAACAGUAAACCACGUCUUAGAAGAUUGUAAAGAUUGUUAAUUAAAAAAAAAAAAAAUUCGCGGCAAUCGUUCAGUAAGUACCUACAUAAUAUUAUUAUUUAUUACAAUCGAUUCAACAGUUACACAGUUUUUUCGAUUAUCGUCGUGUAAACACGGGAGUGUGUACUUGUCCCGGUAAUUAUUACAAGUUGACAAUUUUAUUAUUGACCUAUGACUUACCUUUGGCAAAGAAGUGAUAAUAAUUCGUUUCGAAGAAUCGAUAAGAACAAUAUUCCAAGAAUUUCCCGGAAGAAUACCGCAAUCAUAUGAAUAUCAACCUCUCAAUCAGAAAUCAGUAUCUUAUUUAACCAAAACACAGUUGAUGACAAUUAUUUUAUUCCGUUGAUAUGCAUGUAACUGCCAGUUUGUAUUUUUGUAUUCAAAACAUAAAACAUGUGUACAUAUGAAAAUCGAGGGAUGAGCUUUCGUAAAUUAUGAAUGAAAAGACUCACAGCUAUUAAUAAAAUUUAUAACUUUUGAAUGAAUCAUCGUCGAUCAUCUACGCGUGGUGAUUAUGUGGCUGUUGAACAUUGGACACAAAUACAUGAUAAGUAUUUUAUAUUUCUAUGUAUAUCAAUAUUUAACUGUGCAAUACUUUUAAAAGAUGAACAAUUAUUAUUAUAUUUAUGAUGAAAUGUCAUCUAUUCUGUGUUAAUAUUAACAAUUAACAUCACACUCAAAACCCAACAGCAACCACAAACUGAAUAAAUUAAUAAAAUAGACUAGAUAAAUGCUUAUUUUAUGAUUUUCGAAUUGUCUGAAAAUGAUU